GACGAACGCUGGCGGCGUGCCUAAUACAUGCAAGUAGAACGCACAGUUUAUACCGUAGCUUGCUACACCAUAGACUGUGAGUUGCGAACGGGUGAGUAACGCGUAGGUAACCUGCCUGGUAGCGGGGGAUAACUAUUGGAAACGAUAGCUAAUACCGCAUAAUAUUGAUUAUUGCAUGAUAAUUAAUUGAAAGGUGCAAUUGCACCACUACCAGAUGGACCUGCGUUGUAUUAGCUAGUAGGUGAGGUAACGGCUCACCUAGGCGACGAUACAUAGCCGACCUGAGAGGGUGAUCGACCACACUGGGACUGAGACACGGCCCAGACUCCUACGGGAGGCAGCAGUAGGGAAUCUUCGGCAAUGGACGAAAGUCUGACCGAGCAACGCCGCGUGAGUGAAGAAGGUUUUCGGAUCGUAAAGCUCUGUUGUAAGAGAAGAACGGGUGUGAGAGUGGAAAGUUCACACUGUGACGGUAUCUUACCAGAAAGGGACGGCUAACUACGUG
This 505-nucleotide ribosomal RNA is filed under the name uncultured bacterium. Its description in RNAcentral is "partial 16S ribosomal RNA". It matches the Rfam family "Bacterial small subunit ribosomal RNA", at positions 28 to 507 of the family's 1533-position model. The record is from RNAcentral.